UUAUCGUGUGUCGAAGUAUCAAUCAGCGGGUGACCAGUUUAGUUCGUAAACUCGUGUGUACAAUGACAUUCCCGAUUCAACUACGGAAUCGUCAUAUGACAGUGACUGUUAAUCUGAAUUGGUCAGUGAAUUAACGGAUGAGAAAAUAAUUAUAAAAAGCAAUAUCGCUCCACGUCGGACAUCUCCCAACGACGAGCGUGAUUGACGGAGUGGCGUUUGAUUUAUAAACAAAAAUGUAGCAAAGCGUCUAUCUUUUAUCUUCUUUUAUUUUUACAUUUACAUCUAAAUCAACACAAAAAUAAACUGUCGGCUGUUGUGUCACCUAUUAUUCCUGCCAAAAUUUAUUUGGGGUCGACUUCCGUCUACCUCUACAAUCCGAACACCUGUGAAAACCGAACAAAACGCAAAGUCCCGUGGGUGUUCGGUUUGGACAGGUUUCACUGUAGUUUUACAUUCAUAAAUUGUUUAUAAGUCAUAUCUACAUGAAGCUCCUCUAUCAACUGUCCUAUGACCGAAAACCGAAAA
This 525-nucleotide long non-coding RNA is filed under the name Mytilus galloprovincialis (Mediterranean mussel). The record is from RNAcentral. Lineage: Eukaryota; Metazoa; Mollusca; Bivalvia; Mytilida; Mytilidae.